UUCUCCUUUUAACUUAAAUUAAAAUAUUUUAACAGUCUAGUAAAGAAGAUUAAAGAACUUUUAGGAGCUUUAAAUUUGUACCGAAAGGGAACAAUGAAAUAAAAAUGAAAAAUCCUAAGCACAAUAAAGUAGAGACUUUAUCUCGUACCUUUUGCAUCAUGGUUUAGCUAGUCUGACUAGGCAAAAAGAUCUUAAGUCUAACCCCCCGAAACUAAAUGAGCUAAUUUAGGACCGCUUAAUGAGCUAACCCGUCUGUGUUGCAAAAUAGUGGGAAGAUCCUAGAAUAGAGGUGACAUACCUAACGAACUUAGUGAUAGCUGGUUUCUCAAGAAAAGAAUUUUAGUCCAACCUAAAUUGAUUAAAGCCCCUACAAGUCCCCAAUUCACUUUAGAGCAACUCAAGUGAGGUACAGCCCACUUGACACAGGAUACAACCUCUACUAACGGGUAACACCCCCCCCACACCUUUAAGUGGGCCUAAGAGCAGCCAUCUUUAAAAAGCGUUAAAGCUUAAUUGUCCGUUAAUUCUAAUCCAAUUACCCCCAUGAAACCCUUUAAUAGUACUGAGAACUUCUAUAACUUUAUAGAACAUUUUAGGCUAAAACUAGUAACAAGAGGUAUCCCCUCUCCCAAUGCAAGCUUAGGCCAGCAAGAACCCAUCACUGGCAAUUAACGGACCUAGCUAAAAGUAGCAACCUCCCUAGAAAACCCUACUUCUACCCCCCCCCCCGCCCGUUAACCUAACACCAGAGCAUUUCAAGAAAGAUUAAAAGAAAAAGAAGGAACUCGGCAAACAUCAGUCCCGCCUGUUUACCAAAAACAUCGCCUUUUGUUCCCCCCCCCCAUAAGAGGUCCAGCCUGCCCAGUGACUUUGUUCAACGGCCGCGGUAUCCUAACCGUGCGAAGGUAGCGUAAUCACUUGUCUUCUAAAUAAAGACCAGUAUGAAAGGCAUCACGAAGACUAAACUGUCUCCUUUUUCUAAUCAGUGAACCUAAUCUCCCCGUGAAGAAGCGAGGAUUUUACCAUAAGACGAGAAGACCCUAUGGAGCUUAAAACAUCACACACCUGCCACUUACCCUACUACCCCGGUAUCUCCCCUAUGGCAACCUGAUUGUAUGUUUUUGGUUGGGGUGACCGCGGAGAAAAAUACAUCCUCCAUGAUGAAGGGGACUUCCCCUAAACAACAAGCCACAACUUAAUGUAUCAACAAAUUGACAUCUAUUGACCCAAUAUUUUGAUUAACGAACCAAGUUACCCUAGGGAUAACAGCGCAAUCCACUUUAAGAGCCCCUAUCGACAAGUGGGCUUACGACCUCGAUGUUGGAUCGGGGUAUCCUAGUGGUGCAGCCGCUACUAAAGGUUCGUUUGUUCAACGAUUAAAACCCCACGUGAUCUGAGUUCAGACCGGAGUAAUCCAGGUCAGUUUCUAUCUAUGAAGAGUUAUUUUUAGUACGAAAGGACCAAAAUAACAUGACCAAUGCCUUAGCAAGUCAUAAUAAAUAAUUUUUAACCCC
RNAcentral lists this ribosomal RNA (1514 nucleotides) under Pristimantis melanogaster. Its description in RNAcentral is "partial 16S ribosomal RNA". It matches the Rfam family "Bacterial large subunit ribosomal RNA", at positions 404 to 2778 of the family's 2925-position model. Lineage: Eukaryota; Metazoa; Chordata; Amphibia; Anura; Strabomantidae. The record is from RNAcentral.